Molecule: ribosomal RNA, 327 nt
Filed under: uncultured eukaryote
Lineage: Eukaryota
Description: partial 18S ribosomal RNA
Rfam family: Eukaryotic small subunit ribosomal RNA
Source: RNAcentral
CCCUUAGAUGUUCUGGGCCGCACGCGCGCUACACUGACGAAUGCAACGAGCUUAUAACCUUGGCCGAAAGGUCUGGGUAAUCUCCAAAUUUCGUCGUGAUGGGGAUAGAUUAUUGCAAUUAUUAAUCUUCAACGAGGAAUGCCUAGUAAGCGCAAGUCAUCAGCUUGCGUUGAUUACGUCCCUGCCCUUUGUACACACCGCCCGUCGCUCCUACCGAUUGAAUGGUCCGGUGAAGCGUUCGGACCGUGGCCUUUGGACGGUUCGCCGUCUGUUGGCUGCGAGAAGUUCGUUAAACCUUAUCAUUUAGAGGAAGGAGAAGUCGUANCA